RNAcentral lists this ribosomal RNA (253 nucleotides) under uncultured bacterium. RNAcentral describes it as "partial 16S ribosomal RNA". It matches the Rfam family "Bacterial small subunit ribosomal RNA", at positions 524 to 776 of the family's 1533-position model. The record is from RNAcentral.
UACGGAGGUGGCAAGCGUUGAUCGGAAUCACUGGGCGUAAAGGGCGCGUAGGCGGGGAGGUAAGUCGGGUGUGAAAUCCCUCGGCCCAACCGAGGAACUGCGCCCGAGACUGCUUCUCUUGAGUCCCGGAGAGGAAGAUGGAAUUCCCGGUGUAGCGGUGAAAUGUGUAGAGAUCGGGAGGAACACCGGCGGCGAAGGCGGUCUCCUGGACGGUGACUGACGCUGAGGCGCGAAAGCGUGGGGAGCAAACGGG